This 373-nucleotide ribosomal RNA is filed under the name uncultured organism. Its description in RNAcentral is "partial 16S ribosomal RNA". It matches the Rfam family "Bacterial small subunit ribosomal RNA", at positions 526 to 896 of the family's 1533-position model. The record is from RNAcentral.
GUAGGGGUGCAAGCGUUGUUCGGAAUCAUUGGGCGUAAAGCGAGUGUAGGUGGUUAUGCAAGUCAGGGCGUGAAAGCCCUGGGCUCAACCCAGGAAGUGCGCUUGAAACUACAUAGCUUGAGGACGGUAGAGGUUGGUGGAAUUCCUAGUGUAGAGGUGAAAUUCGUAGAUAUUAGGAGGAAUACCGGCGGCGAAGGCGGCCAACUGGGCCGUUCCUGACACUGAGACUCGAAAGCGUGGGUAGCAAACAGGAUUAGAUACCCUGGUAGUCCACGCCGUAAACGAUGAGUACUAGUUGUUGAGGGUAUUGACCCCUUCAGUGACGAAGCUAACGCAUUAAGUACUCCGCCUGGGAAGUACGGUCGCAAGAUUA